Gavialis gangeticus (Gharial) is the source of this 2210-nucleotide long non-coding RNA. RefSeq lists it as uncharacterized. The transcript is spliced from 2 exons. The record is from RefSeq and is a predicted model, not a curated record. Lineage: Eukaryota; Metazoa; Chordata; Crocodylia; Gavialidae.
CCCCUCUCUAACACUGCCUGUGCCCCUAUCCUCCCCCCUCUAGACUUACCUUCAGGAGCUGCGCUUCACCGCUGCCUGGGGCUGUUAUUCCCAGCCAUUACGUUGCUCAAAUUACCAACACAUUCUUAAUAAAAAGAUGCUCACAAGUUUUAAAGCUCUGGAAAGGAACCUGACUGACCACCAAGAUUGCCCUCCGUCUUGGUUUUUGGAACGGCUGUGGUACAGGCAUUAAUCGAGUGAAUUUUUCUACACAGCUGACAAGCAUCGUUUUUGACUUGCAGGAUUCCUCUUGGUCCCUUCAUUUGGUCUGUGGUGCCUCUGACACUGCUAACCACAGUGCGUGGGUGGUGCUGGCUCUUAUUCAUUCUAGGGACUAGACAAACUUCCAAAUCACUUUACCUCCCUGUCCUUCUUUUCCCCUGCCUUUCUGCUGUGAACUGUCUGCGCUCGUGGAAUCACACAUUUCAUGUAGCAUAAGCAGUUCAUACUACCCCCCAGCAUGGGUGCCGAUCUCAGCAGUGGAUACAACCAGAGAUCUGCACCAGCGGGAUCAUCAUACCAUGCUCAAAGCUGUUGCAGAUUCCCACCAGGCAGUAGAUCCCACCCUUAUGCAACUGCCUGCAUCAGGUUCCUACUGAUGGGCAGAUUCCAACCAGUAAGCUGAAGGUGGAAACGAUUUCCAAUUCCAGGGUCAGAUGCACUCUGUUGCCCAAAGGUUCAUCAAGAUGUCAGGAUAUAUUUGGUUUUGUUGCUAGGUAUGGCAGGGCUUUCAACAGCAUGAGCAGCCUGGCAGACAGUUGACUUUCCUUUCUAUAAUUCUGGUGCCAAAGGCUUAAUAUAUUGCAUACCAUUUAGAAAGCAGAACAAUCAGUGAAUCCACACAUAAAACACAUUUGGGACAACUUUUACUUCUGAUGCCAGAGUGCAGGCUUUCUUUACAGGAACAAAAAAGAAACAUUUUUUUAAAAAAUGACUCAUUUACUCUUGCUAAUUUUUUUAAACCAUUUCAUUUAAAAAAAAAAAGUUACUCCUGAAAGCCAUUACUUGUAAUAAAUGUAUAAGCCAGCAUACUUUUUUUUUCUUUUUUUCUCGUAAUCAUUCCUUUGAACAAGGCAAACUCUUAUCCGGUCCUGCCCUGAGCAGUCUCAUGAAGAGUGGACAGGGUAUUAAAUAGUUAAAUAACAAUUAGAAGCUUGGUUCCAAGUACUUGAACUGUGGCUUCCUCUUGCCCCAGAGAAAUUUACUGAAGGUCCCCAGUUAGCUAUGCAUUUUGUGUAAUUUCCUUGUGGGAUUUAGUGCCCCUUGAGAAAGUGGCAGUUAGUCUCACUUGUAAGGUAUCUAACUUGGUAAGACAUAACAGAAAAUGCUGGAAAUCCAAAUCACACCUUACAUAAGAGGCUUGAAAGAGUGCAUUUUGCCUUUAAAAAUUUGUAUAACUUUUCCUGCAACAAUGAAAGCUGCUGGCUGUAUUGCUGACUGUUCACAAGCAGAAAGAAUGCACAGCACAUUAGGUAUCCAUUUUUAACACGAUAGUGGUUUGGUUUUUACUUCUGUUGCAGCAGCAGUUCACAGACUGAAUAAAAACUUCUGUUUUAAUUGGAUCAUUCCUCAAAUAAAGAAGGGACCUGAAUAAUCCUUGCAAUAGAAAGGGGCAGCCUUGCAUGCAAAGAGGAAGAGUUAUUAUUUUUAUUAUUAUUAUUAUACUGUAGAACCAUGGACAACCUCUAUGUGAAGCAGUCAGGUGCUAGCAGCUAUAUAUGGUGGUUUUCCUUAGAAUGUCAUAAAUUAGCAACUUAUAUUUUAUCUUUAAAAAAAAUAAAUUGAAUGAAUAAAUAAAUAAAUUAAUUUAAAAAAAGGAACAGAAACAGUUAUGACAUGCAAGACAUGAAAACAGAACAAUUCAAAAUGACUAAAGUAAAAUAUAAGUUAUGUAGAAGAAAAGCCCAGAUUCAUUUUGGUUUGCAAUAAAUGCAUUUUGGAAGCAUUAUUUAUAAAGGUAUUUCAUAUACCAAAAAAGGCACCACAGUAUCUACAGAGCCAAAUCCUUAAGACUUUCUGUGGGUUGUGAAGAAGGAAGGUAGCAGCCUUGAUUAGAAUAUACAGUUCUUAGUGUACAGUUGAUUCCCCCCCUCCUAUAAACUCAUUCACUGCAAAUCUGAUCUUUUCUACUUUUGUUUGGUUUUGCUGUCAGUUCAAAAACUAUAUGAAUU